CACUCCUACGGGAGGCAGCAGUGGGGAAUUUUGGACAAUGGGCGAAAGCCUGAUCCAGCAAUGCCGCGUGAGUGAAGAAGGCCUUCGGGUUGUAAAGCUCUUUUGUCAGGGAAGAAACGGUGAGAGCUAAUAUCUUUUGCUAAUGACGGUACCUGAAGAAUAAGCACCGGCUAACUACGUGCCAGCAGCCGCGGUAAUACGUAGGGUGCAAGCGUUAAUCGGAAUUACUGGGCGUAAAGCGUGCGCAGGCGGUUUUGUAAGUCUGAUGUGAAAUCCCCGGGCUCAACCUGGGAAUUGCAUUGGAGAGUGCAAGGCUAGAAUCUGGCAGAGGGGGGUAGAAUUCCACGUGUAGCAGUGAAAUGCGUAGAUAUGUGGAGGAACACCGAUGGCGAAGGCAGCCCCCUGGGUCAAGAUUGACGCUCAUGCACGAAAGCGUGGGGAGCAAACAGGAUUAGAUACCCGGGUAGUCCCAUG
RNAcentral lists this ribosomal RNA (474 nucleotides) under uncultured organism. Its description in RNAcentral is "partial 16S ribosomal RNA". It matches the Rfam family "Bacterial small subunit ribosomal RNA", at positions 334 to 799 of the family's 1533-position model. The record is from RNAcentral.